GCUUUUGGUUCAGUGGUAGAAUGCUCGUCUGCCACGCGGGCGCCUCGGGUUCGAUUCCCGGCCGAUGCA
This 69-nucleotide transfer RNA is filed under the name Cordylochernes scorpioides. RNAcentral's name for it is "tRNA-Gly". It matches the Rfam family "tRNA". From Rfam's summary of the family: Transfer RNA (tRNA) molecules are approximately 80 nucleotides in length. Lineage: Eukaryota; Metazoa; Arthropoda; Arachnida; Pseudoscorpiones; Chernetidae. The record is from RNAcentral.